RNAcentral lists this ribosomal RNA (451 nucleotides) under uncultured bacterium. RNAcentral's name for it is "partial 16S ribosomal RNA". It matches the Rfam family "Bacterial small subunit ribosomal RNA", at positions 28 to 507 of the family's 1533-position model. The record is from RNAcentral.
GAUGAACGCUGGCGGCGUGCCUAACACAUGCAAGUCGAGCGGUAGCGAGGGGUGCUUGCACCCUGUCGGCGAGCGGCGGACGGCUGAGUAACGCGUGGGAACGUGCCCCAAAGUGAGGAAUAACUGCCCGAAAGGGUAGCUAAUACCGCAUAUUAUCUUCGGAUCAAAGGAUUUAUCCGCUUUGGGAGCGGCUCGCGUCGGAUUAGGUAGUUGGUGAGGUAAUGGCUCACCAAGCCGACGAUCCGUAGCUGGUCUGAGAGGAUGACCAGCCAGACUGGAACUGAGACACGGUCCAGACUCCUACGGGAGGCAGCAGUGAGGAAUCUUCCACAAUGGGCGAAAGCCUGAUGGAGCAACGCCGCGUGCAGGACGAAGGCCUUCGGGUUGUAAACUGCUUUUAUAAGUGAGGAAUAUGACGGUAACUUAUGAAUAAGGAUCGGCUAACUACGUG